RNAcentral lists this ribosomal RNA (253 nucleotides) under uncultured bacterium. RNAcentral describes it as "partial 16S ribosomal RNA". It matches the Rfam family "Bacterial small subunit ribosomal RNA", at positions 524 to 776 of the family's 1533-position model. The record is from RNAcentral.
UACGGGGGGGGCAAGCGUUGUUCGGAAUUACUGGGCGUAAAGGGCUCGUAGGUUGCCAACUAAGUCAGACGUGAAAUCCCUCGGCUUAACCGGGGAACUGCAUCUGAUACUGGAUGGCUUGAGUUCGGGAGAGGGAUGCGGAAUUCCAGGUGUAGCGGUGAAAUGCGUAGAUAUCUGGAGGAACACCGGUGGCGAAGGCGGCAUCCUGGACCGACACUGACGCUGAGGAGCGAAAGCCAGGGGAGCAAACGGG